UCCUACGGGAGGCAGCAGUAGGGAAUCUUCCGCAAUGGACGAAAGUCUGACGGAGCAACGCCGCGUGAGUGAUGAAGGUUUUCGGAUCGUAAAGCUCUGUUGUUAGGGAAGAACAAGUGCGAGAGUAACUGCUCGCACCUUGACGGUACCUAACCAGAAAGCCACGGCUAACUACGUGCCAGCAGCCGCGGUAAUACGUAGGUGGCAAGCGUUGUCCGGAAUUAUUGGGCGUAAAGGGCUCGCAGGCGGUUUCUUAAGUCUGAUGUGAAAGCCCCCGGCUCAACCGUGGAGGGUCAUUGGAAACUGGGAGACUUGAGUGCAGAAGAGGAAAGUGGAAUUCCAUGUGUAGCGGUGAAAUGCGUAGAGAUAUGGAGGAACACCAGUGGCGAAGGCGACUUUCUGGUCUGUAACUGACACUGAGGCGCGAAAGCGUGGGGAGCAAACAGGAUUAGAUACCCUGGUAGUCCACGCCGUAAACGAUGAGUGCUAAGUGUUAGAGGGUUUCCGCCCCUUAGUGCUGAAGUUAACGCAUUAAGCACUCCGCCUGGGGAGUACGGCCGCAAGGCUGAAACUCAAAUGAAUUGACGGA
This 589-nucleotide ribosomal RNA is filed under the name uncultured bacterium. Its description in RNAcentral is "bacterial SSU rRNA". It matches the Rfam family "Bacterial small subunit ribosomal RNA", at positions 337 to 917 of the family's 1533-position model. The record is from RNAcentral.